Long non-coding RNA from Macadamia integrifolia, 358 nucleotides. RefSeq lists it as uncharacterized. NCBI's taxonomy places the organism in Eukaryota, Viridiplantae, Streptophyta, Magnoliopsida, Proteales, Proteaceae. The record is from RefSeq and is a predicted model, not a curated record. The transcript has 2 exons.
AGGAAAGAGAGGACUGAUGCUUUGGCUUUUGGGGACUCAUUAAUUCAGUCCACUGUUUCGAUGGAGACACCAGUGAGCUGCUAGCUUCUAGCACAAAGACUUCUGGGACUGCUUCUGACACUUGGUUGAUUGCUCCAGACACCAAGGCAAAGCAUGGUUCAGGCUGCAGGUGUGAUGAUUGUGCAUAUGGAUCAGUGGGCUACAAUGAGCUUAAUAGUGAUAUUUUGAUAUUUUGUAUAUUUAUAUAUGUUGUGAAGAUUUGUAGAAUUUGAGAGAUGUAUGGAUUUUAGACUUUUGUAUAUGUAUGUACAUUUCUAUCAUGUAGUGUAACAUUAUUUAUGUAUGACCUUACCUUAUG